RNAcentral lists this transfer RNA (72 nucleotides) under Ovis aries (sheep). It matches the Rfam family "tRNA". From Rfam's summary of the family: Transfer RNA (tRNA) molecules are approximately 80 nucleotides in length. Their secondary structure includes four short double-helical elements and three loops (D, anti-codon, and T loops). Further hydrogen bonds mediate the characteristic L-shaped molecular structure. tRNAs have two regions of fundamental functional importance: the anti-codon, which is responsible for specific mRNA codon recognition, and the 3' end, to which the tRNAs corresponding amino acid is attached (by aminoacyl-tRNA synthetases). tRNAs cope with the degeneracy of the genetic code in two manners: having more than one tRNA (with a specific anti-codon) for a particular amino acid; and 'wobble' base-pairing, i.e. permitting non-standard base-pairing at the 3rd anti-codon position. Lineage: Eukaryota; Metazoa; Chordata; Mammalia; Artiodactyla; Bovidae. RNAcentral also lists the same sequence under 2 other names. The record is from Rfam by way of RNAcentral.
UCCCUGGUGGCUCAGCUGGUGAAGAAUCUGCCUGCAAUGCAGGAGACCUGGGUUUGAUCCCUGGUUUGGGAA